GAUAAACGCUAGCGGCAGGCCUAACACAUGCAAGUCGAGGGGCAGCGGAAGAAUUACUUCGGUAGUUCUGCCGGCGACCGGCGCACGGGUGCGUAACGCGUAUGCAACCUACCUUCAACAGGGGGAUAAUCCGAAGAAAUUUGGUCUAAUACCCCAUAAUAUUCAGAGAGGCAUCUUUUUGAGUUGAAAACUCCGGUGGUUGAAGAUGGGCAUGCGUUGUAUUAGCUGGAUGGUGAGGUAACGGCUCACCAUGGCGAUGAUACAUAGGGGGACUGAGAGGUUUUCCCCCCACACUGGUACUGAGACACGGACCAG
RNAcentral lists this ribosomal RNA (315 nucleotides) under uncultured bacterium. RNAcentral's name for it is "bacterial SSU rRNA". It matches the Rfam family "Bacterial small subunit ribosomal RNA", at positions 28 to 334 of the family's 1533-position model. The record is from RNAcentral.